Molecule: ribosomal RNA, 172 nt
Filed under: uncultured Acidobacteriota bacterium
Lineage: Bacteria; Pseudomonadati; Acidobacteriota
Description: uncultured Acidobacteria bacterium partial 16S ribosomal RNA
Rfam family: Bacterial small subunit ribosomal RNA
Source: RNAcentral
CCUACGGGAGGCAGCAGUGGGGAAUUGUUCGCAAUGGGCGCAAGCCUGACGACGCAACGCCGCGUGGAGGAUGAAGGUCUUCGGAUUGUAAACUCCUGUUGAUCGGGAAGAAUGGCCUCCGGGUUAAUACUCCGGAGGAGUGACGGUACCGAUUGAGGAAGCCACGGCUAAC